GAAGUUCGCCAGGCAAUCGCUGGAUGCUCUGCAUCUGGAGGAAAGUCCGGGCCCCAUAGAGCGGGAUGCUGGCUAACGGCCAGGCGUUAUAAGUAGCGGCAACGCUACCCAAGGCGACAGACAGUGCAACAGAAAGAUACCGCCUAAGCUCGCAAGAGCCGGUAAGGGUGAAAUGGCGGGGUAAGAGCCCACCGCGGACCUGGCGACAGGGACGGCACGGCAAACCUCAUCCGGGGCAAGGCCAAAUAGGGGAGCAAUGACGUGGCUCGCGUCGCUCCCGGGUAGGCUGCUUGAGGCCGUCGGUAACGGCGGUCCCAGAGGAAUGAUUGCCCACGACAGAACCCGGCUUAUCGGCGGACUUCCCAC
Molecule: RNase P RNA, 366 nt
Filed under: Georgfuchsia toluolica
Lineage: Bacteria; Pseudomonadati; Pseudomonadota; Betaproteobacteria; Nitrosomonadales; Sterolibacteriaceae
Description: Bacterial RNase P class A
Rfam family: Bacterial RNase P class A
About the family: Ribonuclease P (RNase P) is a ubiquitous endoribonuclease, found in archaea, bacteria and eukarya as well as chloroplasts and mitochondria.
Source: Rfam by way of RNAcentral